Long non-coding RNA from Chrysoperla carnea, 212 nucleotides. RefSeq lists it as uncharacterized. The transcript has 2 exons. Lineage: Eukaryota; Metazoa; Arthropoda; Insecta; Neuroptera; Chrysopidae. The record is from RefSeq and is a predicted model, not a curated record.
AGAGAAAUAAUUUAAUUAAUUUCAAAAAAACUGAUUUGAUCUGUAUAAAAUACUAAUAUUGAAUUGUCUCGAAGAGAUUAAAGUAAAUAUUCUUUGAAAUGCUUACAAAAUUUACAAGAAAAAUAGGCACGCAAAUUGUUAUAAAAUUAUCAGGGGUGUGGAAGCAUCAAAACCAUGCUUUUAAAGGCACACCCAAGAAUAUAACAGCAAAA